UAUCGCGACUGGUGUGUGAUCUAUGUUCGCUGUUCGCGCCAUUUUGAAUUAGCCCAAUAAUAACUCCUCAAGCCUUCACUUUUAAAUACUAUAGUCUUAUUUUUUUACUCAAAUUAUGACCAUGGAGUCUGAGGCUGGCUAUUUAUCNGAACUUUUAGCCGAGAAAGAUAGUUUAGACCCGUCUUUUGUUCACUGUAUGAGGCUUUUAACGCGAGAAAUAAACAGAAUGCAGGGUGGGGGGUCACCUCCAGUUGUUUCUCCUCGAAGCAAAGAAGACGAAAAUAUUAAUGGUACACCAUCAAAUGAAGGAAGUGAGGGUAAUCUACAAGAUGCAGUCAUUCCGAGACUGCAUCCAGAGCCAAGAGAACUCAGAGAACCCAGAGAACCUAGAGAACCUAGACAUUAUCGAAGAGCACACCCACCAGAAGAAAAUAAACUCUACCAGCCAGUAAAAUUAUCUGAGAAAGUCUUUAUCCCCACUAAAGAACAUCCUAAGUUUAACUUUGUCGGUAAGCUACUGGGUCCACGAGGGAACACAUUCAAAAGGCUACAAAACAGUACAGGAACAAAGAUGUCUAUUUUAGGGAAAGGUUCAAUGAGAGAUAAAGAAAAGGAAGAAGAGCUAAAGGCAACAGGAGAUGCAAAGUAUAAUCAUCUUUCUGAAGAUUUGCAUGUUCUUAUCGAAGUAGAAGCUCCACCAGGCCAAGCACAUGCUCGUUUGGGUAUCGCAAUAGAAGAAAUUAAAAAAUUCCUUAUUCCUGAAACAAAUGAUGAAAUUCACCAGGAACAAAUGCGAGAGAUGGCCAUACUUAAUUCCAUGGAUGACCCUCCCCCAACCAGUCAAGCUGGAACCCAACCAGCACCUGCACCCACAGCUGGUAGAGGACGUGCCCGUCCAAGAGUGGCGCAAGCUCCAAUAACUCAUCAAGUCCCAGCAAGAGGAAUUAUAACAAGACAGGGCCAUCCUUUGGCAUUACGAAGGGUACAGCAGGGACCUAUGUCAGUAACAGUCAGAUCAGCAGCUGGUUUGCCGUCAUCACCAACUAUGGCACAUCCUGCUCCCAGAGGACAGGCACAACCUGGGGUGGAUCCCUAUGGCGAAACCUAUGAUCCUGCUUAUGGAUAUGAAGCAGCAUAUACCGAACCUGAGGAAGUCACAUAUUAUGAUUAUGGUAGAGGGGUAGCUCCNGCAGAAAUCUAUGAGACCGCAUAUCCAGCAUUUAAGCGAAGAAAAGCUACUUGAGAAUUACAUCUGGCUGGUAAAGUAGAAUGGGGAAUCCAGGUCCUUUUGUUAUAAGGUAUUAAACCGUUGCUGAAAAUUCCUGGCCCCUUGGUUCUAAUCAUUUUAGAUUGAUUAAUUUUAUUUAUUUAUAAUACAUUUUUGACAACAUCUGGAAGGCUGUCAAGCUCACAGAAACAUGGAGAGAGCAUAACCUGUUCAAAAAUUAUUACUCAAAUUGUAGAGUGCUUUUAGUCUCACUGUUGAAUAGGUGACGUCAACUAAAUUAGAUAAGU
This 1515-nucleotide unclassified non-coding RNA is filed under the name Actinia tenebrosa (Australian red waratah sea anemone). Its description in RNAcentral is "kH domain-containing, RNA-binding, signal transduction-associated protein 2-like, transcript variant X3". The record is from RNAcentral. Lineage: Eukaryota; Metazoa; Cnidaria; Anthozoa; Actiniaria; Actiniidae.